CAAUAGCGUAUAUUUAAGUUGCUGCAGUUAAAAAGCUCGUAGUUGGAUUUCGGGUGGGAAUGGCCGGUCCGCCGUUUCGGUGUGCACUUGCUACGCCCACCUUGCUGCCGGGGACGUGCUCUUGAGUUCACGCUCGGGACACGGAGUCGGCGAGGUUACUUUGAGUAAAUUAGAGUGUUCAAAGCAGGCCUACGCUCUGAAUACAUUAGCAUGGAAUAAAACGAUAGGACUCUGGCCUAUCUUGUUGGUCUGUAGGACCGGAGUAAUGAUUAAGAGGGACAGUCGGGGGCAUUCGUAUUUCAUUGUCAGAGGUGAAAUUCUUGGAUUUAUGAAAGACGAACUACUGCGAAAGCAUUUGCCAAGGAUGUUUUCAUUAA
This 377-nucleotide ribosomal RNA is filed under the name uncultured eukaryote. RNAcentral describes it as "partial 18S ribosomal RNA". It matches the Rfam family "Eukaryotic small subunit ribosomal RNA", at positions 592 to 976 of the family's 1831-position model. The record is from RNAcentral.